GUGAGUUCCCAGAAACAAAACCGUUAGGGCGUGGUCGGGGCCCAAAACGGACAAUAUCAUGCUCAAAGGAGUCGAGCCCGGGAUGUGGUGGACCCCGGGUCGGGAUGUGACAAUUUUCAAUCCCACAAAUUAUGAGUUUUAUUUAAAAUCUCAUUAAUAUAAAAAACUACAAAUUUCAAUUUUUAACUUAAAUGAAUAUAAUAACCUAAUAGAAACACAUUAUACAUUAAUGUCAAGAACUAUGGUCUAGUGGUAUUCCUCUUCACUUGUAAGUGAGAGGUAUUAGGUUCGAUUCUCGUCAAAGGCGAAUUUGAACUGUAUUAUUGUCAACUCAUUGUGAGGCUAAGCCAACACCAUUUCUCUUAGUAUCGAUAAUAUCGUUUAAUAUCGUUUGUUAAAAAUAAAAAAAUGAUUAAAAAAACAAGAUUUUAGUAAAAAAAAUAUAUAUUAAUAGUUAGGGAUCGUUCCAAAGUCUUCAUUUUUAGUAUCACUUGAAUAAAAAGAGAACAACUAAAAAUUUACCUUAAUGGAAAUGAAGUUUCUUUAAUUAAAAAAUCUCAUUUGAUACUUUAAACUUUCUAUAAUUAAAAAGAAAAAUACAUUUAUGAGGAGUCUAAAAUGAGAUUUUUGAAGUACUAAUAACAAUUUUUUUUUUUAAAUUUCUUUUAUAAAAAUUAAAAUUAAUUAAAAAUGACGUGUCAUGUCCUAAAUCGUUGAAUUAUUAUAAUAGUAAAAUUUUAACAAAAUGCGAGUAAAUACAUGAAUGCUAAAUGCAGACUCGAGAUCCCCUGGCCAGAUAGAUUACAAUGCCACUUUGCAUUGUUAAUUAAGUACUAUACUUUUGCUUUUCAAGAUUUGGCAUGUGAAGAUGCACGCAUAACCGCACAUUUGGGGAGCAAAUAAUAUAAUCUAAUUAUCAAAGUACAGGUAUGUAUAUUUGUAUGUCGCUCAUUACAAGGAAAGAGAAAGAACAAUAAAAAUAUCUAUGAAAGGCGUUCGCUAUUAUUCGAUCCCAAUAAUUUUGUUCCCCAUUUGGCCAAUUUGAGGGCCAUUGACCGACCCUUUAUAAUAAUUAUUGUACUCUAUCUUCCCUUAACUUUGUAAAUUUUUAAUUAACAUUGUUCAGUCGUUGUAGAUCUUUUAACCUUGUUCAGUAAUAUUUUUCUAUUUUCCGAUUAACCUAUGUAUGUGUGUGCAUUUCAUAUUGCUAGCAGCAAAAUUUAGUAUUUUAUUCCCUUUCGUAGCUAGGGUUAGUACGUACGUACACAAACUAUAUGUCUACUCCUUUGAAUUUUACCAAUUGACUUAUCCAAAGGAAUA
This 1320-nucleotide long non-coding RNA is filed under the name Malus domestica (apple). RNAcentral describes it as "long non-coding RNA (MDOM_LNC015708)". Lineage: Eukaryota; Viridiplantae; Streptophyta; Magnoliopsida; Rosales; Rosaceae. The record is from RNAcentral.